GUCACACCCGUUCCCAUCCCGAACACGGUCGUUAAGCUCUUCAGCGCCGAUGGUAAUUGGGGGCUUCCCCCUGUGAGAGUAGGACGCUGCCAGGC
Molecule: ribosomal RNA, 95 nt
Filed under: Scopulibacillus daqui
Lineage: Bacteria; Bacillati; Bacillota; Bacilli; Caryophanales; Sporolactobacillaceae
Source: RNAcentral